RNAcentral lists this transfer RNA (63 nucleotides) under Ischnocnema ramagii (Paraiba robber frog). RNAcentral describes it as "tRNA-Val". Lineage: Eukaryota; Metazoa; Chordata; Amphibia; Anura; Brachycephalidae. The record is from RNAcentral.
UAGCUUAACUUUAAAGCACUUCGCUUACACCGAAUAGAUGUUUAUUUACCUAAACUACUUUAA